Molecule: long non-coding RNA, 506 nt
Organism: Dermacentor silvarum
Lineage: Eukaryota; Metazoa; Arthropoda; Arachnida; Ixodida; Ixodidae
Exons: 3
Source: RefSeq, a predicted model, not a curated record
GGAACAUCGACUACCUGACGAACAUUCUGUACCACACACGCGGCGAAAGAGCACAAGAGGUUAACAAGCGAAGACCCUGCAAUUCUUCACAGCGAGAGAAAACUCGAGUCCUCUGCGAAGGCUGGGAGGUGCAACAGGCUCCGCCGGGCCUCCCGCUGGUACUGGCGACGCUGGCUUCAUGAUGGCCGCGCGGCAUGCCAUCAGGCGUCGCGGGUCGCUCGACUCCCGCGGCGGUCGAGGAACCCUGGGUGUGCACGCCGUGUUCGGGGCUGUUGCGCGAGUGCAAGCCCGACGAAGGCGGGGGCAGCUCGGGCACAAUGAACUGCACCUGCGGGGAUAGACAACAGCACGAACGCCAGACCUGACGGAAAUUCUCGCCGAGACCACGAAUCGAGCUGAUCAGAAGAAUAACGCAUGCACUGCACCAAUAAAGCGGGUAAGUAAAGGUCCAAGAAAGGGGAUGAAAUGAAAGCAGCUUGCUUUCUACUGCUCUGCUUCGGUCAGAA